UGGUGCUACAGCUACUCGUAGUGAGGCUGCUGGAAUUUGACUAUACAUAAAUAUUGACUCAAUGAGUCUUUGUAGUGGAUGUUGGCGAUAAUUGGUCCACUAUAGGGGUAGGGUGCGCACCUAAAUAGAACUUAUCAAUCCUAGCAGAAGGGAGUAGUCCUGUGAAAUUUAAGAAGCUAAGUUCUUAAGUCUAUGGCCAUAGCAGUGUGAUUGAUA
This 216-nucleotide long non-coding RNA is filed under the name Elaeis guineensis (African oil palm). RNAcentral describes it as "long non-coding RNA (EGUI_LNC078410)". Lineage: Eukaryota; Viridiplantae; Streptophyta; Magnoliopsida; Arecales; Arecaceae. The record is from RNAcentral.